RNAcentral lists this ribosomal RNA (1033 nucleotides) under Serratia nematodiphila. Its description in RNAcentral is "bacterial SSU rRNA". It matches the Rfam family "Bacterial small subunit ribosomal RNA", at positions 74 to 1051 of the family's 1533-position model. Lineage: Bacteria; Pseudomonadati; Pseudomonadota; Gammaproteobacteria; Enterobacterales; Yersiniaceae. The record is from RNAcentral.
CUAGUACACUACAGAGAUCUGGCUCAGGAGUCCUAACAAGGUAACCCCCUAGUUUUUUUCCGGGGCACGGAAGAGUAACGCGGGGACCCCUGCCUGAUGGAGGGGGAUAACUACUGGAAACGGUAGCUAAUACCGCAUAACGUCGCAAGACCAAAGAGGGGGACCUUCGGGCCUCUUGCCAUCAGAUGUGCCCAGAUGGGAUUAGCUAGUAGGUGGGGUAAUGGCUCACCUAGGCGACGAUCCCUAGCUGGUCUGAGAGGAUGACCAGCCACACUGGAACUGAGACACGGUCCAGACUCCUACGGGAGGCAGCAGUGGGGAAUAUUGCACAAUGGGCGCAAGCCUGAUGCAGCCAUGCCGCGUGUGUGAAGAAGGCCUUCGGGUUGUAAAGCACUUUCAGCGAGGAGGAAGGUGGUGAACUUAAUACGCUCAUCAAUUGACGUUACUCGCAGAAGAAGCACCGGCUAACUCCGUGCCAGCAGCCGCGGUAAUACGGAGGGUGCAAGCGUUAAUCGGAAUUACUGGGCGUAAAGCGCACGCAGGCGGUUUGUUAAGUCAGAUGUGAAAUCCCCGGGCUCAACCUGGGAACUGCAUUUGAAACUGGCAAGCUAGAGUCUCGUAGAGGGGGGUAGAAUUCCAGGUGUAGCGGUGAAAUGCGUAAAGAUCUGGAGGAAUACCGGUGGCGAAGGCGGCCCCCUGGACGAAGACUGACGCUCAGGUGCGAAAGCGUGGGGAGCAAACAGGAUUACAUACCCUGGUAGUCCCACGCUGUAAACGAUGUCGAUUUUGGAGGUUGUGCCCUUGAGGCGUGGCUUCCCGGAGCUAACGCGUUAAAUCGACCGCCCUGGGGAGUACGGCCCGCAAGGUAAAAACUCAAAUGAAUUGACGGGGGCCCCGCCACAAAGCGGUGGGAGCUUGUGGUUUUAUUUCGAUGCAACGCGAAGACCCUUACCUACUCUUGAAAUCAGAAGAACUUUUCCAGAUAUGGAUUGGUGCCUUUCCUGAACUCCUGAAACUAGGUGUUGCAUUGUCU